AGACAUGACCUGGCAGGGGCAAUACCAUGAUCACGAAGGUGGUUCACCCAGGGCGAGGCUCUGCCAUUGCACUUGGGUGGUGCUGACCCUUGCGAAUUCCCCAAAUGUGGGAAUCUCGACUGCAUAAUUUCUGGUAGUGGGGGACUGCGUUCGUGCUCUCCCCUG
Small nuclear RNA from Pygocentrus nattereri (red-bellied piranha), 165 nucleotides. Its record names the gene U1. It matches the Rfam family "U1 spliceosomal RNA". From Rfam's summary of the family: U1 is a small nuclear RNA (snRNA) component of the spliceosome (involved in pre-mRNA splicing). Its 5' end forms complementary base pairs with the 5' splice junction, thus defining the 5' donor site of an intron. The record is from Ensembl. Lineage: Eukaryota; Metazoa; Chordata; Actinopteri; Characiformes; Serrasalmidae.